RNAcentral lists this ribosomal RNA (433 nucleotides) under uncultured bacterium. RNAcentral describes it as "partial 16S ribosomal RNA". It matches the Rfam family "Bacterial small subunit ribosomal RNA", at positions 29 to 507 of the family's 1533-position model. The record is from RNAcentral.
AACGAACGCUGGCGGCAUGCCUAACACAUGCAAGUCGAACGAGACCUUCGGGUCUAGUGGCGCACGGGUGCGUAACGCGUGGGAACCUGCCCUUAGGUUCGGAAUAACUCCCCGAAAGGGGUGCUAAUACCGGAUAAUGUCUUCGGACCAAAGAUUUAUCGCCUUUGGAUGGGCCCGCGUUGGAUUAGCUAGUUGGUAGGGUAAAAGCCUACCAAGGCGACGAUCCAUAGCUGGUCGGAGAGGAUGAUCAUCCACACUGGGACUGCGACACGGCCCAGACUCCUACGGGAGGCAGCAGUGGGGAAUAUUGGACAAUGGGCGAAAGCCUGAUCAAGCAAUGCCGGGUGAGUGAUGAAGGCCUUAGGGUUGUAAAGCUCUUUUACCCGGGAUGAUAAUGACAGUACCGGGAGAAUAAGCUCCGGCUAACUCCGUG